CCCAACUGCAUGGCAUCAUCCCCUGGUGGCUGUGGCCUAGGGCAAGCCACAGAGCCACUCGGUGACGAUGCCAGCAGUUGUG
This 82-nucleotide microRNA precursor is filed under the name Chlorocebus sabaeus (green monkey). RNAcentral describes it as "miRNA (ENSCSAG00000023433.1)". The record is from RNAcentral. Lineage: Eukaryota; Metazoa; Chordata; Mammalia; Primates; Cercopithecidae.